UCCCUCCGUCGCGCCGCCAGUCCACUGUCUUCCUCCUCCUUGGGAUCCCCUCCCGAUCCAAAACCACCAACCACGACCACCCCCGCUCCUCCUCAGUUUCCGCGCCAACCAACUAGUGCCUCCUCUAGAUCCCGCGUCCACCCAACCAGCGCAGCCACCAGACCGGAGCCCCUCGCCGAAUCAGGAGCUCCCAUGGCUGCCGCCGCCGAGCCGCCCGAGCACCUCCUCCUCUUGAACCGCCAUGGCAUCCGAGGCCUCCAUGCAAGACCACCACCGCCGCCAUGGACAGACGCCGUCCAGGGCCCUUGCCGCUGUGCCCUGCUUCUUCCUCCUCCUCGAGGAGAUGCCCUCACCUCGAGCAUCAGCGCGCCAAGGCCCGCCUUCUGAAGUCCGUUGUCGUCGGAGCUGCCCACCACCAGCAGAGAACAUCACACGCCGCCGCUAGUUCCGACCGGGCCCGAGGCCCUCCGUCCUUUCGCCGGCGUUCCCCUUCAGAUCCCGCUGCCAGAGCUUCGUCCCUGCUACUCCUCGCGGUCGUCUUCUUCAUGUGCGCCGCCAAUGCCAGGUCCAGCCUCUGCUUUGAGCAGAGGAGGAGGACGCCCGUGUCUCGCCGCCCGAGCACCGCUGCCUGCCCUCGUCCCCGACGCCGGCGAGAUCGCCGCCGCCGGAUCCACGUCUCUAGCAUGCCCGUGCUCGUGCACGCUCACCUCCACCGGCCGUCUGCAAGCAGCAGCGCCGUCACGGACAAGACCGAAUCCGCUCGAGAGCCGCCAUGGCUGCGUCCCCUUCGACCCUGCGCGCGAAUGCCUCGCUGCUGUUCGCGUUGACCCCGCAUCGAUCGAGCAGCCACGGUUACAGAGCAAGCUAUCGCUGUUUCAGUUUUUAGUUU
Molecule: long non-coding RNA, 889 nt
Organism: Triticum urartu
Lineage: Eukaryota; Viridiplantae; Streptophyta; Magnoliopsida; Poales; Poaceae
Source: RefSeq, a predicted model, not a curated record